Chelonoidis abingdonii (Abingdon island giant tortoise) is the source of this 1794-nucleotide non-coding RNA. The record is from RefSeq and is a predicted model, not a curated record. Lineage: Eukaryota; Metazoa; Chordata; Testudines; Testudinidae.
UAGCUCUGACUCAAAGCUCCCCCUCUACUAGCAGCGGUGAAGAACAGAGAGAAUUUCAAAACUGCAGAAUUUCCUACCCAAUGGAAAAUCUAGUUCCUGCCUAGUUCUAGCUAACGGGACCUGAGUGAGGCAACUGGUGUGCCACUAAGAAUAGCGGAAUGGGAGAAAAAAUGAUCUAAAACCCACCUUUAUCACUGUUCAUCAAAAUUCGUCCAUACUUAAUUCCAGCCAUCUUUCUUUUUCUUGCCUCCACUGUUGAAGUCUCGUGUGCCUGGAAAGACACGCUAGUGACUGAACAACGAGGGGAGGAGACCAAGCAAUUAAGAGAGAGGACUCCAAGCCAAAUGGAGCCCAGCCAGGCAUCCAGGUGCCAUCUAAACCCUGCUUUGGGGGACCUUAGGAUUAUAUUUUGAUCAUCUGCAAAAUGCAACGUGUGGCCCUCUCAUUUUUCUGCCUCAGGAGUUCAGAGAGCACGGGCUCAGCACUAGAAAGAAGAAAGAAAGAAAUGGAAAUCCUGCCCUUCUCUGCCAGCUCAUCACUUGGAUGGAUUGUUGCCCCAUUACAUUUUGGAUGCAGCCACUGAACUUUUUCCCAUCAGCCGGAGAUUAUUUUUUUCACUAGUGUUAAUGCCCAAGGCUUGCUCGGCUACUGUUAACAGCUCAAAUCACGUUAAAAUUAGCCAGGUCACAACAUUUCACUCUACACAGCUUUCUCAGGGGAGACCAUGGUAGUAUUGUCCCUGCAGCUAGCUGGAGGAGGGUUCUGACUGCUUUGAGAAACCUGCCAGGCUGCUGAGAGCGGAAAGGUGUUGGGCUUCCUCUCAUUGAAGUCAAUGAUAAGACUCCCAUUGGCUUCAAUAGUGAAGGACUCAGUUUAACCACUUGGAGGAUGGUUUCUUUGUCUAAUGGGUGUUGCCAUUAUUGGCAGCAUCCCCAGCUUUUUCCUAACGUGGGUUGUUGAGUGCUCAGUUAAUCCCAGCUGUGGAGAGUGGGUCCCACUAUCAUCCUACUCAUUGCAUUCCAUGUCCCUUGGAAUGUAUAUUCAAUAUAAAACCACGCUCCAUUUGUGCCCCUGAUGCUGUAAUAUAUAAAGAAAUAAUCAUCUGCCACACUUCCCCUACAGGGGUAGGUCAUUUAUGCCUGUUACGCAGCUUAGGUAGCUAUUAUUUGGUGUCAGACUGCACCUUCAACUGGUGGGUGCAGCAGGAGUAUCAGCUACUACCUUUGUCCAGGUUUAGAUGGGCUGGCUUUUUUAGAACUGUGCCAGACUGAAGGCUGCCUCUGAGGUUGGCAUCUGGUCCUUCACAUUUAUUGGCUCCGUUCAGAUUGCACAUAGCCCAUCUUUGAUGAAUGCUAGAAAGGUACAAAGGUGCAAGCAGGAAAAGUCCAUGGAAGAGGGGGAAAAACUCAUUAAAAUGCAAAUCUCUUUUACAAAGUAAUUUUGUGAUUCAGCCCUGUGAGCCAAGUUUCUUCUGCCUUGACCCAAAGGCACCUCACUGGGCAGCUGACGGUGACUAGAAAACAUCCACUGCCUCCGUCUUUUACUGGGCCUAUCAGAAGAGAGAGCUAAAGGGCAGACUGCACUCGGAGAGAACCCAGCUCAAUUAGAUCUCAUUUUUCCAGGCACUAAGAGCACUUACCAUCAUACUACGACCUGCCAAUAUUUAGUUGAGCUGCAUCAGGUUGUACAGCUUUUAUUUUCUCUUUGAGUGACGUGUGUGAAUUUACCUCAGCAGACUUCUUUGAGAUUUCUCCCUAUUUAACAAGGUCUCUUCUUUAGGGACUCUUAUGCCAG